RNAcentral lists this ribosomal RNA (468 nucleotides) under uncultured bacterium. RNAcentral's name for it is "partial 16S ribosomal RNA". It matches the Rfam family "Bacterial small subunit ribosomal RNA", at positions 28 to 507 of the family's 1533-position model. The record is from RNAcentral.
GACGAACGCUGGCGGCGUGCUUAACACAUGCAAGUCGAACGGAAAGGCCCUGCUUUUGUGGGGUGCUCGAGUGUCGAACGGGUGAGUAACACGUGAGUAACCUGCCCUUGACUUUGGGAUAUCUUCAUGAAACUGGGGCUAAUACCGGAUAGGAGCUCCUGCUGCAUGGUGGGGGUUGGACAGUUUCUGCGGUUGGGGAUGGACUCGCGGCUUAUCAGCUUGUUGGUUGGGUAGUGGCUUACCAAGGCUUUGACGGCUAGCCGGCCUGAGAGGGUAACCGGCCACAUCGGGAGUGGGGUACGCCCACGCCUCCUACGGGAGCAAGUGGUGGGGAAUAUUGCACACUGGGCGGAAGCCUGAGGCAGCCACGCAGCGUGCGGGAUGCCGGCCUUCGGGUUGUAAACCGCUUUCGCCUGUGACGAAGCGCGAGUGACGGUAAUGGGUAAAGAAGCACCGGCUAACUACGUG